RNAcentral lists this ribosomal RNA (440 nucleotides) under uncultured bacterium. RNAcentral describes it as "partial 16S ribosomal RNA". It matches the Rfam family "Bacterial small subunit ribosomal RNA", at positions 338 to 795 of the family's 1533-position model. The record is from RNAcentral.
CCUACGGGUGGCUGCAGUGGGGAAUAUUGCACAAUGGGGGGAACCUUGAUGCAGCAACGCCGCGUGGGUGAAGAAGUACUCCGGUAUGUAAAGCCCUGUCAGCAGGGAAGAAAAUGACGGUACCUGACCAAUAAGCCCCGGCUAACUACGUGCCAGCAGCCGCGGUAAUUCGUAGGGGGCAAGCGUUAUCCGGAUUUACUGGGUGUAAAGGGAGCGUAGACGGCAAGGCAAGUCUGGAGGGAAAGCCCGGGGCCCAACCACGGGACGGCUUUGGAAACUGGGUUGCUGGAGUGCAGGAGGGGUAAGCGGAAUUCCUGGUGUAGCGGUGAAAUGCAUAGAUAUUAGGAAGAACACCGGUGGCGAAGGCGGCUUACUGGACUUUAACUGACGUUGAGGCUCGAAGGCGUGGGGAGCAAACAGGAUUAGAUACCCUAGUAGUC